UGGUGGCGACCGGCGCACGGGUGAGUAACGCGUAUGCAACCCCCUUAUCAGAGGGGAAUAACCCGGCGAAAGUCGGACUAAUACCGCAUAAAACAGGGGCACCGCAUGGUGAUAUUUGUUAAAGAAAUUCGCUGAUAGAUGGGCAUGCGUUCCAUUAGGUAGUUGGUGAGGUAACGGCUCACCAAGCCGACGAUGGAUAGGGGAACUGAGAGGUUGGUCCCCCACACUGGUACUGAGACACGGACCAGACUCCUACGGGAGGCAGCAGUGAGGAAUAUUGGUCAAUGGGCGAGAGCCUGAACCAGCCAAGUCGCGUGAAGGAAGAAGGAUCUAUGGUUCGUAAACUUCUUUUGCAGGGGAAUAAAGUGCAGGACGUGUCCUGUUUUGUAUGUACCCUGAGAAUAAGGAUCGGCUAACUCCGUGCCAGCAGCCGCGGUAAUACGGAGGAUCCGAGCGUUAUCCGGAUUUAUUGGGUUUAAAGGGUGCGUAGGUGGUUUGAUAAGUCAGCGGUGAAAGUUUGCAGCUUAACUGUAAAAAUGCCGUUGAAACUGUCGGACUUGAGUGUAAAUGAGGUAGGCGGAAUGCGUGGUGUAGCGGUGAAAUGCUUAGAUAUCACGAAGAACUCCGAUUG
Molecule: ribosomal RNA, 631 nt
Filed under: uncultured Bacteroidales bacterium
Lineage: Bacteria; Pseudomonadati; Bacteroidota; Bacteroidia; Bacteroidales
Description: bacterial SSU rRNA
Rfam family: Bacterial small subunit ribosomal RNA
Source: RNAcentral